CGAAACCAUCCAUGAGAGGAGACCCAGGCUGAGCCUGCACGGGUGCCCUUUUGCGAGAAAUGGAAGAGCAGCAUUGGGCAAUCAGCUCCAAGUUCAUCGGUCAGCAGCAGCACAGCAAAAGUAGACUGGGGACAAUCUGCACGAUGGAGGGAGCCCAGCUCCUGGCACAUCCUGGAGGAAAUGGUAGCAGGGACAUAGAGCACAUGCGGGACAGUAAAUACAGACACAGCCCCGGGGACAGCUCCGUCUGCCCAUGCGGAAAGAGUUCAACACUUCUCCCGGGCUGGCCCAGAAUUCCUGAAAGGCCUACGGUGGCAAGCCCUUGAGCAGAACAAGCCCACUCCCAGCCCUGGCCCCUCCUCGGGCUGUCAUCUGUACCUGUGUUCUUCCUUCAUAAAAAUCCACCGUGCACUCCAAAAGAGUAACUAG
RNAcentral lists this long non-coding RNA (429 nucleotides) under Mustela putorius furo (domestic ferret). RNAcentral describes it as "lncRNA (ENSMPUG00000032106.1)". The record is from RNAcentral. Lineage: Eukaryota; Metazoa; Chordata; Mammalia; Carnivora; Mustelidae.